This 510-nucleotide ribosomal RNA is filed under the name uncultured bacterium. Its description in RNAcentral is "bacterial SSU rRNA". It matches the Rfam family "Bacterial small subunit ribosomal RNA", at positions 28 to 536 of the family's 1533-position model. The record is from RNAcentral.
GAUUAACGCUAGCGGCAGGCCUAAUACAUGCAAGUCGAACGGGAUUCCCGCAGCAAUGCGGGAUGAGAGUGGCGCACGGGUGCGUAACACGUAUGCAACCUACCUGUAACUGGGGGAUAGCCUCCCGAAAGGGAGAUUAAUACCGCAUAACAUUAUGAGGGGGCAUCUCUUUGUAAUCAAACCUCCGGGGGUUACAGAUGGGCAUGCGUCCGAUUAGCUAGUUGGCGGGGUAACGGCCCACCAAGGCGACGAUCGGUAGGGGGUCUGAGAGGAUGAUCCCCCACACUGGUACUGAGACACGGACCAGACUCCUACGGGAGGCAGCAGUAAGGAAUAUUGGACAAUGGGCGCAAGCCUGAUCCAGCCAUGCCGCGUGCAGGAUGACGGCCCUAUGGGUUGUAAACUGCUUUUAUACGGGAAGAAACCCCGAUUGCGAUCGGGGUUGACGGUACUGUAAGAAUAAGGGUCGGCUAACUCCGUGCCAGCAGCCGCGGUAAUACGGAGGACCCG